GACGUAGGGCGCGAGCGUUGUCCGGAUUUAUUGGGCGUAAAGAGCUCGUAGGCGGUUUGUCGCGUCGACUGUGAAAACUGGGGGCUUAACUCUCAGCUUGCAGUUGAUACGGGCAGACUUGAGUUCGGUAGGGGAGACUGGAAUUCCUGGUGUAGCGGUGAAAUGCGCAGAUAUCAGGAGGAACACCGGUGGCGAAGGCGGGUCUCUGGGCCGAUACUGACGCUGAGGAGCGAAAGCGUGGGGAGCGAACAGG
This 253-nucleotide ribosomal RNA is filed under the name uncultured bacterium. RNAcentral describes it as "partial 16S ribosomal RNA". It matches the Rfam family "Bacterial small subunit ribosomal RNA", at positions 524 to 776 of the family's 1533-position model. The record is from RNAcentral.